Molecule: transfer RNA, 85 nt
Filed under: Cellulomonas carbonis T26
Lineage: Bacteria; Bacillati; Actinomycetota; Actinomycetes; Micrococcales; Cellulomonadaceae
Description: tRNA-Leu
Rfam family: tRNA
About the family: Transfer RNA (tRNA) molecules are approximately 80 nucleotides in length. Their secondary structure includes four short double-helical elements and three loops (D, anti-codon, and T loops). Further hydrogen bonds mediate the characteristic L-shaped molecular structure. tRNAs have two regions of fundamental functional importance: the anti-codon, which is responsible for specific mRNA codon recognition, and the 3' end, to which the tRNAs corresponding amino acid is attached (by aminoacyl-tRNA synthetases). tRNAs cope with the degeneracy of the genetic code in two manners: having more than one tRNA (with a specific anti-codon) for a particular amino acid; and 'wobble' base-pairing, i.e. permitting non-standard base-pairing at the 3rd anti-codon position.
Source: RNAcentral
GCCCCUGUGGCGGAACUGGCAGACGCGCUCGGCUCAAACCCGGGUGCCGCGAGGCGUGAGGGUUCGAGUCCCUCCGGGGGCACGA